GAUGAACGCUGGCGGCGUGCCUAAUACAUGCAAGUCGAGCGAACAGACGAGGAGCUUGCUCCUCUGACGUUAGCGGCGGACGGGUGAGUAACACGUGGAUAACCUACCUAUAAGACUGGGAUAACUUCGGGAAACCGGAGCUAAUACCGGAUAAUAUAUUGAACCGCAUGGUUCAAUAGUGAAAGACGGUUUUGCUGUCACUUAUAGAUGGAUCCGCGCCGCAUUAGCUAGUUGGUAAGGUAACGGCUUACCAAGGCAACGAUGCGUAGCCGACCUGAGAGGGGGAGCGGCCACACUGGAACUGAGACACGGUCCAGACUCCUACGGGAGGCAGCAGUAGGGAAUCUUCCGCAAUGGGCGAAAGCCGGACGGAGCAACGCCGCGGGAGUGAUGAAGGUCUUCGGAUCGUAAAACUCUGUUAUUAGGGAAGAACAAAUGUGUAAGUAACUAUGCACGUCUUGACGGUACCUAAUCAGAAAGCCACGGCUAACUAAGUG
This 497-nucleotide ribosomal RNA is filed under the name uncultured bacterium. Its description in RNAcentral is "partial 16S ribosomal RNA". It matches the Rfam family "Bacterial small subunit ribosomal RNA", at positions 28 to 507 of the family's 1533-position model. The record is from RNAcentral.